GAUGAACGCUGACAGAAUGCUUAACACAUGCGAGUCUACUUGAACUUCGGUUUGGGUGGCGGACGGGUGAGUAACGCGUAAAGAACUUGCCUCACAGUUAGGGACAACAUUUGGAAACGAAUGCUAAUACCUGAUAUUAUGAUUUUAGGGCAUCCUAAAAUUAUGAAAGCUAUAUGCGCUGUGAGAGAGCUUUGCGUCCCAUUAGCUAGUUGGAGAGGUAACGGCUCACCAAGGCGAUGAUGGGUAGCCGGCCUGAGAGGGUGAACGGCCACAAGGGGACUGAGACACGGCCCUUACUCCUACGGGAGGCAGCAGUGGGGAAUAUUGGACAAUGGACCAAAAGUCUGAUCCAGCAAUUCUGUGUGCACGAUGACGUUUUUCGGAAUGUAAAGUGCUUUCAGUUGGGAAGAAAAAAAUGACGGUACCAACAGAAGAAGUGACGGCUAAAUACGUG
Molecule: ribosomal RNA, 454 nt
Filed under: uncultured bacterium
Lineage: Bacteria
Description: partial 16S ribosomal RNA
Rfam family: Bacterial small subunit ribosomal RNA
Source: RNAcentral